This 253-nucleotide ribosomal RNA is filed under the name uncultured bacterium. Its description in RNAcentral is "partial 16S ribosomal RNA". It matches the Rfam family "Bacterial small subunit ribosomal RNA", at positions 524 to 776 of the family's 1533-position model. The record is from RNAcentral.
UACGUAGGGUGCGAGCGUUAAUCGGAAUUACUGGGCGUAAAGCGUGCGCAGGCGGUUUUGUAAGCCAGAUGUGAAAGCCCCGGGCUUAACCUGGGAAUGGCAUUUGGGACUGCAAGGCUUGAGUGCGGCAGAGGAGACUGGAAUUCCUGGUGUAGCAGUGAAAUGCGUAGAUAUCAGGAGGAACACCGGUGGUGUAGACGGCUCUCUGGACCGUAACUGACGCUGAGACACGAAAGCGUGGGUAGCAAACAGG